GUAGGUGGCAAGCGUUGUCCGGAAUUAUUGGGCGUAAAGCGCGCGCAGGCGGUUCUUUAAGUCUGAUGUGAAAGCCCACGGCUCAACCGUGGAGGGUCAUUGGAAACUGGAGAACUUGAGUACAGAAGAGGAAAGCGGAAUUCCACGUGUAGCGGUGAAAUGCGUAGAGAUGUGGAGGAACACCAGUGGCGAAGGCGGCUUUCUGGUCUGUAACUGACGCUGAGGCGCGAAAGCGUGGGGAGCAAACAGGGAUUAGAUACCCUGGUAGUCCACGCCGUAAACGAUGAGUGCUAAGUGUUAGGGGGUUUCCGCCCCCUUAGGGCUGCAGCUAACGCAUUAAGCACUCCGCCUGGGGAGUACGGCCGCAAGGCUG
RNAcentral lists this ribosomal RNA (373 nucleotides) under uncultured organism. RNAcentral's name for it is "partial 16S ribosomal RNA". It matches the Rfam family "Bacterial small subunit ribosomal RNA", at positions 527 to 896 of the family's 1533-position model. The record is from RNAcentral.